CAAUAGCGUAUAUUAAAGUUGUUGCAGUUAAAAAGCUCGUAGUUGGAUUUCGGGGCAGCCCGGCUGGUCCGCCGCAAGGCGAGUACUGGUCAGCCGCCCUUCCUCUCGAAAGCCCCGACUGCUCUUCGUUGCAGUGGUCGGGUAGUUCGGGACGUUUACUUUGAAAAAAUUAGAGUGUUCAAGGCAGGCCUACGCCUGAAUACAUUAGCAUGGAAUAAUGGAAGAGGACCUCGGUCCUAUUUUGUUGGUUUCCAGGGCCGAAGUAAUGAUUAAGAGGGACAGUUGGGGGCAUUCGUAUUUAAUUGUCAGAGGUGAAAUUCUCGGAUUUAUGAAAGACGAACAACUGCGAAAGCAUUUGCCAAGGAUGUUUUCAUUAA
RNAcentral lists this ribosomal RNA (377 nucleotides) under uncultured eukaryote. RNAcentral describes it as "partial 18S ribosomal RNA". It matches the Rfam family "Eukaryotic small subunit ribosomal RNA", at positions 592 to 976 of the family's 1831-position model. The record is from RNAcentral.